CAAAGGCUUGGUCCUGACUUUACUGUCAACUUUGACUAAACUUACACAUGCAAGUCUCCGCAUCCCCGUGAGAAUGCCCACAGUUCUCCGCCCGAGAACAAGGAGCUGGUAUCAGGCACAUAUUAAACAUAUAGCCCACAACACCUUGCUUAGCCACACCCUCAAGGGAAUUCAGCAGUGAUAAACAUUAAGCCAUGAGUGAAAACUUGACUUAGUCAAAGUCAAAUAGGGCCGGUAAAACUCGUGCCAGCCACCGCGGUUAUACGAGAGGCCCAAGUUGACAGACACCGGCGUAAAGAGUGGUUAAGGAGUCCUUAAUACUAAAGCCGAACACCCUCAGAACUGUCAUACGUUUCCGAGAGAGGGAAGCCCCACUACGAAAGUGGCUUUAUUACACCUGACCCCACGAAAGCUGUGAAACAAACUGGGAUUAGAGACCCCACUAUGCCCAGCCCUAAACCUUGAUGGUAGUAUACACCCUCCAUCCGCCAGGGGACUACGAGCAUUAGCUUAAAACCCAAAGGACUUGGCGGUGCUUUAGAUCCCCCUAGAGGAGCCUGUUCUAGAACCGAUAACCCCCGUUUAACCUCACCCUCCCUUGUUAUUUCCGCCUAUAUACCGCCGUCGUCAGCUUACCCUGUGAAGGCAUAAUAGUAAGCUAAAUUAGUAAAACCCAAAACGCCAGGUCGAGGUGUAGCAUAUGAGAGGGGAAGAAAUGGGCUACAUUCCCUGCCCCAGGGAAAACGAACAGUAUAAUGAAAUUUAUACUAGAAGGAGGAUUUAGUAGUAAGUAGAAAAUAGAGUGUUCCACUGAAACUGGCCCUGAAGCGCGCACACACCGCCCGUCACUCUCCCCGAACCGACAAACACUAGAUUCAUGAUACAUCUAUUAGGUAAAGGGGAGGCAAGUCGUAACAUGGUAAGUGUACCGGAAGGUGCACUUGGAAAAAC
RNAcentral lists this non-coding RNA (951 nucleotides) under Mikrogeophagus ramirezi. RNAcentral's name for it is "12S ribosomal RNA". It matches the Rfam family "Bacterial small subunit ribosomal RNA". Lineage: Eukaryota; Metazoa; Chordata; Actinopteri; Cichliformes; Cichlidae. The record is from RNAcentral.